UACAGAGGUCUCGAGCGUUAGGCGGAAUCACUGGGCUUAAAGCGUGUGUAGGUGGAUCGGUAAGUACCUUGUGAAAUCCCACGGCUUAACCGUGGAACUGCUUGGUAUACUGCCAGUCUUGAGCCAGCUAGGGGCUACCGGAACAAAUGGUGGAGCGGUGAAAUGCGUAGAUAUCAUUUGGAACGCCAAUGGUGAAAACAGGUAGCUGGGGCUGUGCUGACGCUGAUGUGCGAAAGCUAGGGGAGCGAACGGG
Molecule: ribosomal RNA, 253 nt
Filed under: uncultured bacterium
Lineage: Bacteria
Description: partial 16S ribosomal RNA
Rfam family: Bacterial small subunit ribosomal RNA
Source: RNAcentral